UUUGCCCUACGGGACGCAGCAGUGAGGAAUAUUGGUCAAUGGCCGGAAGGCUGAACCAGCCACGCCGCGUGAAGGACGAAGGUGCCAAGCAUUGUAACCUUCUUUUGUCAAGGGACAAAAUCAGGCUCGAGAGCCUGACCGAGGGUACUUGAAGAAAAAGCAUCGGCUAACUCCGUGCCAGCAGCCGCGGUAAUACGGAGGAUGCGAGCGUUAUCCGGAUUUAUUGGGUUUAAAGGGUGCGUAGGCGGGCUGUUAAGUCAGCGGUAAAAGCCCGGGGCUCAACCCCGGCGAGCCGUUGAAACUGC
Molecule: ribosomal RNA, 305 nt
Filed under: uncultured bacterium
Lineage: Bacteria
Description: bacterial SSU rRNA
Rfam family: Bacterial small subunit ribosomal RNA
Source: RNAcentral